UACGGGGGGAGCAAGCGUUGUUCGGAUUUACUGGGCGUAAAGGGCGCGUAGGCGGUCAGCACGAGUCAGUUGUGAAAUCUCCGGGCUUAACUCGGAAAGGUCAACUGAUACUGUGCGACUGGAGUGCAGAAGGGGCAACUGGAAUUCUCGGUGUAGCGGUGAAAUGCGUAGAUAUCGAGAGGAACACCUGCGGCGAAGGCGGGUUGCUGGGCUGACACUGACGCUGAUGCGCGAAAGCCAGGGGAGCGAACGGG
RNAcentral lists this ribosomal RNA (254 nucleotides) under uncultured bacterium. RNAcentral describes it as "partial 16S ribosomal RNA". It matches the Rfam family "Bacterial small subunit ribosomal RNA", at positions 524 to 776 of the family's 1533-position model. The record is from RNAcentral.